CAGCAGUGAGGAAUAUUGGUCAAUAGCCUAACGGCUGAACCAGCAACUUGGAGGAAUGUAUAGCUAAAGCUAAACGUAUUAGUUACUUUUGUAAAAAUACAGAUUCGAUUUACUCGUAUAAAGUUCUAGAUAGGAUUAUGAUAAUGACAUUGUCUAUCUAUAUGUCUUGACCAAAUUACGUGCCAGCAGUCGCGGCAAGACGUAAAAGACUAGUGUUAUUCAUCUUUAAUAGGUUUAAAGCGUACCUAGACGGUAAAUAAAGCCUUAAGCGGGACUAAUUUAACUAGAGUUAGAUGUAAGGGUGCAUAAACGUACUGUUGAGUGUAGAGAUGAAAUUCUGUUAUACCAGAUUAUUGGCACGGGUUUAGGCGAAAGCAUCGCCUUAUGUAAUAACUGACGUUGAGGGACGAAGGCUUUGUGUCGCGAACAGGAUUAGGUACCCCAGUAGUCUUAGCAGAAAAUGAUGAGUGUCAUAGGUUAAAUAUUAUUUGGUCUAUAAAUGAAAGUGUAAGCAUUCCACCUCAAGAGUAAUUUGGCAACAUUGGAAUUGAAAUCAUUAGACCGUUUCUGAAACCAGUAGUGAAGUAUGUUGUUUAAUUAGAUAUUCCACCAAAAACCUUACCACAAUUUGAAUAUUUUACAAGCGUUGCACGGCUGUCUUCAGUUAAUGUCGUGAGAUUAUGGUUAGUUCCAUUAAAUUAACGUAAACCCUUACUUUAUUUUAUUUUAUNAUAAAGUAGUUCGCCGCUAGAUUGGUUAGAUAAAAGGGACUAAGACAC
RNAcentral lists this ribosomal RNA (779 nucleotides) under Enchylium tenax. Its description in RNAcentral is "SSU rRNA". It matches the Rfam family "Bacterial small subunit ribosomal RNA", at positions 349 to 1188 of the family's 1533-position model. Lineage: Eukaryota; Fungi; Ascomycota; Lecanoromycetes; Peltigerales; Collemataceae. The record is from RNAcentral.